CAGUAUUCAGCUGUCAGAGGUGAAAUUCUUGGAUUUGCUGAAGACUAACUACUGCGAAAGCAUUCGCCAAGGAUGUUUUCAUUAAUCAGGGAACGAAAGUUAGGGGAUCGAAGACGAUCAGAUACCGUCGUAGUCUUAACCAUAAACUAUGCCGACUAGGGAUCGGGCGGCGUUUCUUUUAUGACCCGCUCGGCACCUUACGAGAAAUCAAAGUUUUUGGGUUCUGGGGGGAGUAUGGUCGCAAGGCUGAAACUUAAAGAAAUUGACGGAAGGGCACCACAAGGCGUGGAGCCUGCGGCUUAAU
RNAcentral lists this ribosomal RNA (304 nucleotides) under Aspergillus nidulans. Its description in RNAcentral is "SSU rRNA". It matches the Rfam family "Eukaryotic small subunit ribosomal RNA", at positions 892 to 1194 of the family's 1831-position model. Lineage: Eukaryota; Fungi; Ascomycota; Eurotiomycetes; Eurotiales; Aspergillaceae. The record is from RNAcentral.